Molecule: long non-coding RNA, 451 nt
Filed under: Phoenix dactylifera (date palm)
Lineage: Eukaryota; Viridiplantae; Streptophyta; Magnoliopsida; Arecales; Arecaceae
Description: long non-coding RNA (PDAC_LNC002277)
Source: RNAcentral
AUUUCCACAUUUAAUCGAUGUCCGUGCGUUGCAAAUCUGGAUUAUUCCAAUAAAAUUAAAGUCCCGUUCCUACUGUGUUACGCCUCGAUGGUCCGUCUUCUGUAUGUUAAAGCACGGCCAAUAUCAGUGCGCUGCGGAAGUGAUUCCAGCGGAGACUAAAAAAAAAAAAAACAUAAAGCCAACAUUGCAGGUGGCUUGUACUUAUCACCCAUGAGGCCAUGAACUGGCAAGCACUCUAUCUCCAUCGUAAAUGAGUUGUUUGCAAUUGAAAAAUUGACGAACGAAAGUUGAAAAUGAAGAAAGAGAAAGCCAAGUCUAUGGCAGCACAACAAUGCCUUCGAAUGCGACGAAAUGAUAGGAAAUGUUUUUUCUUCCUCCACACUGAAGAAAAAAAGUGCACGUCAUUCCCCGGUUAUUUGAGCUUUUAAUAGAUUCUACUCCAGUCCACCAC